AUGUCCUCCUCCAGCGCCAGGGCCCCCGACUCCGUCGUCGCAGACGCCGACGCGCUCGCUCGCAAGGUCGCCGCCAUCCGCGCCGCCGGCCCAGCUAAGCUGCAGGUGAUUUCCGACUUCGACGGCACGCUCACUCGGUACUGGUACGACGGCUCCCGCGGCCAGAGUAGCCAUGGGCUGCUCAGACAGGGGAAUGAAGAGUUCGACGCCAAGAGGGAGGCGUUGUUCGAGCAUUACCACCCCAUCGAGAUCAACCCCGACAUCCCGCUGCUGGAGAAGGCCAAGCUCAUGGAAGAAUGGUGGGGGAAGACUCAUGGUCUCCUUAUUGAAGGGGGGCUUACACAAAAUGCUAUAAAGAAAUCGGUGGCUGAUGCUGCAAUUGCUUUUCGAGAUGGAGUGGUGGAGCUGUUUGAAUUUUUGGAGGCUAGAGAUAUUCCAGUGCUAGUAUUUUCGGCUGGACUUGCAGACAUCAUUGAGGAGGUCUUCCGGCAGAAACUCCACCGAUCAUUCAAGAACAUCAAGAUUGUGUCCAAUAGAAUGGUCUUUAAUGAAGAGGGUUCUCUUGUAGCAUUUAAAGGGAAGACAAUUCAUGUUCUAAACAAAAAUGAGCAUUCCUUGGACAUGGCAGCUCCAGUGCAUGACAGUCUGGGGGAUCCAAAUGGUUCUAUUGAUGACUAUUCAUUGGUGAAAAAGAGGACCAACGUGCUGCUACUUGGAGAUCACAUUGGAGACCUGGGAAUGUCUGAUGGUUUAAACUACGAGAACAGGAUUGCUGCUGGAUUCCUGAAUACCAACAUUGAGAAAUCUCUGAAAGAUUACUCCAAGGCAUUUGACAUUGUUUAUCUGAAUGAUGCGUCGAUGCGGGGAGUUGUUGAGCUUGUGUCUGAUCUGUGUCCUUAA
This 900-nucleotide ribosomal RNA is filed under the name Triticum aestivum (bread wheat). RNAcentral describes it as "partial small subunit ribosomal RNA". Lineage: Eukaryota; Viridiplantae; Streptophyta; Magnoliopsida; Poales; Poaceae. The record is from RNAcentral.